Molecule: ribosomal RNA, 328 nt
Filed under: uncultured Pseudomonadota bacterium
Lineage: Bacteria; Pseudomonadati; Pseudomonadota
Description: bacterial SSU rRNA
Rfam family: Bacterial small subunit ribosomal RNA
Source: RNAcentral
AUUGAACGCUGGCGGCAUGCCUAACACAUGCAAGUCGAACGGCAGCAUGACGUGGUUUACCAUGUUGAUGGCGAGUGGCGAACGGGUGAGUAAUACGUGGAGAUAUGCCUUGAAGUGGGGGAUAACUUAGGGAAACUUAAGCUAAUACCGCAUAAGCUCUAAGGAGGAAAGCUGGGGACCGAAAGGCCUGGCGCUUUAAGAUUAGUCCACGUCUGAUUAGCUAGUUGGGUGGGGUAAAGGCCUACCAAGGCGACGAUCAGUAGCUGGUCUGAGAGGAUGGACAGCCACACUGGGACUGAGACACGGCCCAGACUCCUACGGGUGGCAG